AGCGGCAUAGGUGACAUAUUUUGGCAUAGGUGACUAUCGUUGUCAAGGGAGAAAGGACUGUCUAAUGCUAGAGACUUGGAGCGACGUUUUCGUGUUUUGGCGGGUGUGGGUUCGUGAACGAAGAGUCUACGUUGAAGACUUUCAACGUCUUCCCUCUCGGCUCUAACUUU
Daphnia pulicaria is the source of this 170-nucleotide long non-coding RNA. RefSeq lists it as uncharacterized. Lineage: Eukaryota; Metazoa; Arthropoda; Branchiopoda; Diplostraca; Daphniidae. The transcript has 2 exons. The record is from RefSeq and is a predicted model, not a curated record.